Zea mays is the source of this 458-nucleotide long non-coding RNA. RefSeq lists it as uncharacterized. The transcript is spliced from 3 exons. Lineage: Eukaryota; Viridiplantae; Streptophyta; Magnoliopsida; Poales; Poaceae. The record is from RefSeq and is a predicted model, not a curated record.
AGGUGGCACAUGAUUACAAUGGUAAUGACCAUUCACAAAAUAUGGUUCAAGAUGACUUGCAACUUACUAGGCGAGUUGCAAGCACUGUGGGUCGUCCAAGGAAUCGUGAAGAUGUUAAUACUAUUGAAGAGCAAAGUCGCAGGCGAGACAUUGCAACAAUGGUUGGUAAAGAAGUGAUAUUAUAUUCUAUGAUGAGAUCUGAAGUUCCUGUUGCAAUAGCAAAUAUUAUCUCAACCGACCCAACCACUAAGGUGGGAGAUGUUCCUCUUGGAAGGGAGUUCACACAAGUUUUUGUGACUCGCGUGCUAAAAAGGGAAAGUACUCUGCCACGACCAUACUUAGGUGUAGAGAGUAUGGGGGAUGCUCUUUUUAUGCCCGUUGCAUGGCCAACAAACAAGAUGAGUCGUAACAAACAAUCAACGUUGAUCCAAGGUUCUACAGCAGCAGGUAAAUAUUUU